Parasteatoda tepidariorum (common house spider) is the source of this 440-nucleotide non-coding RNA. The record is from RefSeq and is a predicted model, not a curated record. NCBI's taxonomy places the organism in Eukaryota, Metazoa, Arthropoda, Arachnida, Araneae, Theridiidae.
AAGAGAUGUCAAGAUUAUGGGUGUUUCGAUAUCAAAUAAAAAGCCUGCCCGCAUUUAAAGUGCCGAUAAAAGAUAGAAUAAGCACUGGAAGUGGAUCGUAAAAGCAGGGAGGUCCAUUCAAAUGACGAGAAAGACUCACGACAACUGAUACCUGUGCAGGCGCCCAAUUGUCACCUGUAGUUAGAGGUGAAUGAUUUAACUGGGGUAAAGAAGUAAUUUACUGGUUAAAAAUACCUUCAUAACUUCUUAGUACCUUUUGAUACAUGAAGGUUGACACGGCCGAAAGCAAACUCUUCCCUUAAUAGACUCCAUUACGUACUUUACUAAUAGUACUUCCACAAUAUCUAUGCAAUGCUAUUCCUCGAAAAGGGUAAGAGCUUCGUCACCUAUAAUUGGUAAAACAAAAUUCAGUUUGAGUUUAAAACUUCUAUAGCUAUUUC